GACGAACGCUGGCGGCGUGCCUAACACAUGCAAGUCGAGCGGUCCGGCACUCAACUAAGUGCUUACUUAAGGGGAAGGAAGUAUAGUAGAAGAAGAAGGUAAUAAAAGUGAUGCAAAGUAAGGUAAGCGCGGAGUUGAGUGCCGGAUAGCGGCGGACGGGUGAGUAACGCGUGGGCAACCUACCCUUAAGACCGGGAUAACACCUCGAAAGGGGUGCUAAUACUGGAUAAGCUCCUUGUAGGGCAUCCUAUGGGGAGGAAGGUAGCGGAAGCUACCGCUUAAGGAUGGGCCCGCGUCCCAUCAGCUAGUUGGUAGGGUAACGGCCUACCAAGGCGACGACGGGUAGCCGGCCUGAGAGGGUGGUCGGCCACACUGGGACUGAGACACGGCCCAGACUCCUACGGGAGGCAGCAGUGGGGAAUCUUGCGCAAUGGGCGAAAGCCUGACGCAGCGACGCCGCGUGAGCGAAGAAGGCCUUCGGGUCGUAAAGCUCGAUAGUGUGGGAAGAAUAGAUGACGGUACCACCG
This 527-nucleotide ribosomal RNA is filed under the name bacterium enrichment culture clone TC60a_10901. Its description in RNAcentral is "bacterial SSU rRNA". It matches the Rfam family "Bacterial small subunit ribosomal RNA", at positions 28 to 483 of the family's 1533-position model. The record is from RNAcentral.